This 21-nucleotide non-coding RNA is filed under the name Arabidopsis thaliana (thale cress). Lineage: Eukaryota; Viridiplantae; Streptophyta; Magnoliopsida; Brassicales; Brassicaceae. The record is from RNAcentral.
UGUUCAGCGUGGUUCCACUUG